Musa acuminata AAA Group (dessert banana) is the source of this 2038-nucleotide long non-coding RNA. RefSeq lists it as uncharacterized. Lineage: Eukaryota; Viridiplantae; Streptophyta; Magnoliopsida; Zingiberales; Musaceae. The record is from RefSeq and is a predicted model, not a curated record. The transcript has 6 exons.
CCGCGGGUGGGACCUCCAUCCGAGCAAACGCUGCGCAUUAGCUGCUCGCUCUGCCGCCAGCGACUCCAUUACAGAUGCGCUCCGCAUGAUCUCGGAGUCUGCCGCGGUCUACCGUGGACCCGCUUGCUUCGACGCUGUCAGCGGCAAGCUCGUGGAAAAGGCGGGAGUCCAGUUCCGUUUCACGAGCGGAAGGUGUUUGCUCUCGGGCCUCACUGAUUCGUUGCUUCUUGUCAGGGACGUGUUGAAGAGUUGCAGAGAUUUGACUUCAGUUGUGUCUGGUCUUGCCUUCUUGUUUGUUGACUGUAGUGCAUUAGGCAUAAACGAAAGCUGGUGCUACUAAAUGCAAUCUUACUUUGGCCUCCACUUCCCUUUUAGUCUCAUAGCAUAAUACAACUCUCUGGAGGAAGUUACAUAAGUCAUGUCUUGCUUUUAGUUCCAAUUGAUCUCCAACUUAUGAAAACACUCUCAUUCUUGUUCCACUUGCUCCAGAUAAGAGCCAAAAGUUGGUCCUUGAUGCUAUUGUUAAGGUGUCACCAAAGCUUGCGGUCAUACUUGUGGAAGUAAGGUAGUUUCUGGAGAGGAAGUGGUACAUGCAUAAAAGCAACUAUUGGGGGGAAGAGAUGAAGGCCUUUGCAACAUCCUCAUUUACUUCCAAAAAUGGUAAAAUUGUUUGCACAGAGAAACUGGUGGCAAUAGCAAGACGAAGGACCUGUUUGUGUUCGGAAUCAUAUUGCAUGUGCUCAUCAUUUUAUCUUGAAGAACAAACAGCUAUUUGUUCAGCAAAAUAAGAUUCUUAGUGGCCUCAAAAUUCCCUCUGUUAUACUUCAGAUCAUCAUGAAGGCUGGCAUGCUUGAAGGUGGGGAAAGAACUCCAAUGCUGAAUCCUGUUGAACUUGAGGAGAUUGGUUCCAUGCUUGUGAGCUAUCCAUUAUAUUUGAUUGGGAUAUCAUUCUCAACACUGGAGGUUGGUGUGGAGCAAGUAAUACCAUACCAGUGACAAAAACUCUGGAAGCCAUCUCUAAGACUACAACAGCAGCCUUUUGAAGCUGAAGAUUGCUGCUCAAGGUCGGUUUGCAGCCUCUGCCGGUCUCACUUUGGUAAGCUCAGGUUGCUGCACAAGAUGCAAUAAACAAAUGGUGGCUGUGGUCAAAAGAAAGGAAAAAGAGGGGCUUUGCAUCCAAAGAAGAAACACUUUCAGUUACGUUCCACUUGGUCAGUAAAGCAAGGCAGGCAUUGAUUUCCAUAAAGGACACGAGAGAGAGAGAGAGAGGCCGAGGAAUGGAAUUCUGGGCUAGAUGCAGUGAAAGAGGCCAAGCUAAAGCAGUAAACCUAAUUGUGUGGCUGCUGCUUAUAGAAGAAUUGUGUAUUCAAAUCCCAGAGGACCAAGCUAUAGACGAAGACAAAGAUCAGUCAAGGGCUGCUGCUGAACCUGGCUGAUGCAAUCCACUUCAGCCUUCCAAGUAUUAUAAGGCUUCUUAGUCAUAGUAUAACACAGACAAUUUGGUGAGAUGUUACAAAAAUCUCCAAUCAGAACUCUGUCACAAAAAAAAAAAAAACACCAAAAAGAAAGAAAAGGAGGCAACAUCAGCAACUUGUUAAAAAGAAGGGAGAAUGAACUUUCUCAACCACUAUUAUGCUGCACUAAUGGGUGAAGAUCUGACAGCAGGUUUAGCUGUAUUGAGUAGUUGCAUCAAAAUCUAGUGGCAUCAUCCUCAGUUGGAACCUCUACUUUGUUCCUGACAAACUCGAGCAAGUUCCCUUCUUUUUUAGUCUUUCUGAAACGUCCAUGGAAGAACAAGAUCUCACAAAACUUGCCUGGAAGCUGACACGAGGUAUGAGUACAUUGGAAGCCAGGCUAACCUUCUCUGGCCUCGCAAUCUUCCAAGCUCCAAAAACUAUAUCGAGCCAGUACUACAAUAAAGCUUCUUUCACCAACCUUUGCAAGACACAGCUAAGGCCAUGGCCAAUAAUUGCGCAUCAGAUUGUAUCAGAUAGCAGAGGUGAGAUAUAAUACAGUUUUCUGUUCCCCACUGCUCUCA